Macrobrachium nipponense is the source of this 3298-nucleotide long non-coding RNA. RefSeq lists it as uncharacterized. The record is from RefSeq and is a predicted model, not a curated record. Lineage: Eukaryota; Metazoa; Arthropoda; Malacostraca; Decapoda; Palaemonidae. The transcript has 3 exons.
AGCCAUCCACUAUAUCUGGAGUUUCACGAAUGUAAAGGAAAGUCAUCUCAUCACAAAAUUCAUCCGGUGGAUACAUUUCCCAUCACUAAGAAUAUUCGUGAUUAUCCGAUAAGUAAUAGGUUGAAGUUUUUAGAGUAUUGUCCAUGUAAAAUUGUGUAGGUGUCUUCCAAAAGCUCCGUAGUCCUCUAUAUUGUAAGAAAGAAGGAUCUUCAUUAUUAUGACUGCUAUAGUAUAUAUUUAAAUUACUAAGUAUCUUAAGGACAAUCAAAAGCCCAAGAGAGUAGAAUUUUGAAUUGGCCUCUGGCAAGUACAUUUUUUGUAUAACUAAAUAGUAUUUCUCCAUUCCACAGAAUGUGAGCCCUUUUUGGGCUCUAAUCGUUUGCUAUAGUGUUUUUGUCUUAUUAAUAUAGUUGAUGUAAAAUCAGUAUUAACUCAAUAGUUUUUCAAGGUAAACUUAGGAAAAUUGAGUUAUUUUACCCUUUCAGCAGAGAUUACACACUGGCGCAUUUGAAUAUUAAUUUUGUUUCGCAUGGGGAGUAAGUAAUAACCCGUCAGGCCUUAUUCCUCUAAAGUCUAAACCUUCUUACGUUACACGAGUGCUUUGUGAUGGUUUUACUAAAGGAUUAAUGCCACGGUCGAUGGCACUGAAUAAGCAGCUUCGGUGGAGGUCCAGGUAGUGCCACAUCGAGCGAGACAAGAAGGAUUCAGUGCCGUCAAUGGCUGAAGACGCAGUUCCCGGGUUUGGCUUCUGUGCUUCUUCUGUAGGGAUUCGUCGCUCAGUUGCUUUGUCGCCCAAUUGAGAACAACCAGAGAGACCCCGGGACACCAUGUAUACCGAGUAACAAACAAAUGGCCUGAUUGACUCCCCUUGCACCUGGUGCCCGGGCAUGGGUAUAUCCCAAUUUCGAAGAUAACGUCAUGGAGACCAUCCGACAAGGUGAAGACUACUCACAACUCUGAUGGGCGGGUCAUCAAACAUCUUUUGCUUAACUGUUGGGCAGGGCAGUCGAGAAGCCAAUUUGAAACGGCAGCUACCUGGAGGACGAUGAAGUGUUCUCAGGUGCAGAAGCAGAAGAGGAUCGUGCAACUUAAAAGCUGUUUAGUGUUUCAAGUGUUACUGAGACCAAAGAUAAAGCAGCAUCGAACAACUUUUGUUGUUAUGUUGAAACAUUUGCAGGCCUUCUCUUUCAAGAGUGAUUUUUCAGAGCAGGUUUCAAACAUAUUUUAAAAUAAAGAAAGAUUGAGACUUCAGCUUAGAAUUAUUGUUCAUACUUCAGUUUUUAAGAGAUAAAAUCGUCUCAUAAGUCUCACGCCCUGCAGAGGUAUAUACUGUGCUAUCAUUACAUAUAUAAGAAUAAUGAAAAUUAUCUCUAGGCUGAAGAACUGCGUGGAAUAUUGUGUUUGUGCCUUCGAGUAUCAGUUUUUGUUCUUGCCUCACGUAUUCCUUAACAUGAACACGAGUUAUGUAUGCGGAUAAAAAUAUUGAAAGCUUUGUCGCUGGAUUGUAUAAUGAAGAAUAGUUUAGAAGUAAUAUCGGUAUUAAGGUAUCCCAUGACCCCAUAGCGAUAGUUUUGCAGCUUUUUUGGCGCAUUUGUGUAUACGGAAUAAGUUUCGAGUUACAAGGAGUUAUAAGGAUUAGGAUGUCUCAAAGACUUGUCAGUCCGUCCGAGGAGACAUCGUGUACUCACUUAUCUGUAGGAGCAGGUUUUACUAUUCAUUCAGUGUCCUAAUAAUUUUGUCUAGCGAGAGAGAGAGUGAUAACAGAAAACGUCACAUGAAGGUCACAGCUAUUUUAAUGUUAUUGUCAAGUGAAAAGCAAUGUAAGUUGCACCGAGGAAUAUUUAAUUGAGAUUAGAAAGGUUGAAAUGAGAGUAAAGAAAUGCCAGCCAUUAACCAAAAGAGUCAUUGACGUUUUAAUGCUUUGCUUACUGUAAGUCGCUGUCUCUCGCCAAUUUUGUAUCAAUUCAGUCUACUAACAGCACCGUUCCCAGAUGAAAUUGCACCCAAAUGUGAAAUCAUUAAGGUUUUUGGAUUGUGUUUCUGUGAAUACCUGAGUGUCUAUUUUAUUUGUUUUAUUUUUUGCUUAAUUUUGAUCACGUAGUACUGGGUUACUAAUUAUCUAUUGAGACCAAAUUGGCGCCUUGGUACCCUACAUACUCUUUGGCUUCUUUACUAUGGGUUGAAUUGAGUAUAUUUUUAGACGGUUGAGUCUCACGAAUUUUUAUGCCCUUCUUUUGCUCCAUGUGAUUUUUACGGCAGUUCCUUAGUUUGGCUUAUUACAGCUGGGCUGUGUCCAUUGUACCGUUGUUGCAAAUUUUCAGUCAAUCCUCACGGAAGAAUAAUUUUGUGAAUUGUAUUCACGUUACCACUUCUUUUACUUUCCUCUCUUUAGACUCUGUCUUUCCAUUCUGUAACUGGAGAUUAUGCUCUUCUACCUACUUCACAUUUUCGACCAACUUUUAUGGUAUUUGUUGAAUAUAUAUAUAUUUUUUAUAUACUUUGAUCCGCUUUUUGAAAACUUGUUCAUGCUUUUUUCCUAACGUUGGAUUCUCCAGCUGGAUCAGGCAUUCUCGCUGUGUUCUUUUGUUUUCAUUAAUUUUGUAAACCUUUUCUGUAUCGAGAUUUUUAGUCUUGAAUUCAUUGCCGAAGGUAUGCAUCGUCAAUGCUCUUUCUCUGACCCUUUUAAAUGUUAUCUUAAACUGUACAAACCUUUGCGCGUGUCAGUUGUGCCUUUUUAGGCAUAGAUGGUAGUUUCUCAUUUUGUCUGUGUGUCAGAUACCUUUGGUUCAUUUUGAAUGUUUUUUUUUUCCAUCAUUUAUGUAUUAUAUUAUGUACAUUAGAAGUACAGGGAUAUUUUCCAGAUGUCCAUAUGUCAGUCCCAUUUGUAUGAACUGCAAGCAAUAAGUUGAACAAUCUGUUAAAGAACACUUGAUUUUUACGAUAUAAAACAACCUGUAAUCAGCAUUUUUCCAUUUGCUAAUUAUACACUCACUUUCAAUGCGUUCUCCAGAAUGUUUAUUAGUAUAGUAUUUGUUGAUACUCAAGAUGGAUUUCAUCUUGUUCACCACAUAACUAAUUUCAGUGUCUUAGUUCAUGGCUAAUUGCAUUUACAGAUAAGCAUAUUAACCAUUUUCAUUUGAAUUCUGGUAUUGCUGAUAAUUUACGAUUUAACUUUCCCCUUUGAAGGAAGCUUGGUAUUCACUCCCUAGCAUAGCAGACUCCCAUCCUUGAAAGGCUUUGACAGAGAACCUGUAUUAUGGUGAUAUAAAAAAAAUCAUAAUGAAAGUCGUUAUUGUAA